RNAcentral lists this unclassified non-coding RNA (289 nucleotides) under Agaricomycetes sp. RNAcentral's name for it is "partial contains 5.8S ribosomal RNA, internal transcribed spacer 2, and large subunit ribosomal RNA". Lineage: Eukaryota; Fungi; Basidiomycota; Agaricomycetes. The record is from RNAcentral.
CGCACCUUGCGCUCCUUGGUAUUCCGAGGAGCAUGCCUGUUUGAGUGUCUUGAAAUCAUCAAGCCCCGGAUUCGCGUCCGGAGGCAUGGACUUGGGGGUUCUUUGCUGCCGUCGCGCGGCUCCCCUUAAAUGCAUCGGUUGUGGCCCGUCUGGCUUUCAGUCCUCGGCGUUGUAUUGCCCUCGCCCCGCGUCUUGUCGGCAGCGCCCUUCCCCGACCGCCUCUGGAGCGGCGGUCAACACAAUUUUGAAAUCUGACCUCAAAUCAGGUAGGACUACCCGCUGAACUUAA